Molecule: non-coding RNA, 150 nt
Organism: Anas platyrhynchos (mallard)
Lineage: Eukaryota; Metazoa; Chordata; Aves; Anseriformes; Anatidae
Source: RefSeq, a predicted model, not a curated record
AUUCCGUGUAGUUUCUGGAAACGAAGACAUCAGAUGGCAAAGGUCGAGCAGCAGAAUGUCUUUGAAACAACUGUGCCUAUGACCACGUUCAUGCAUCGUGCUAGACAAGGUUUGGUUAUUGACGUAGAAGGGACAUAUCUGGCCUGACUG